UACGUAGGGUGCAAGCGUUGUCCGGAUUUAUUGGGUUUAAAGGGUGCGUAGGUGGCUUUUUAAGUCAUGGGUGAAAGCCCGCAGCUCAACUGUGGAAUUGCCUGUGAUACUGAGGAGCUUGAGUGCGGUUGAGGCAGCUGGAAUUGGUGGCGUAGCGGUGAAAUGCAUAGAGACCACCAGGAACACCGAUUGCGAAGGCAGGUUGCUAAGCCGUAACUGACACUGAGGCACGAAAGAGUGGGGAGCAAACAGG
This 253-nucleotide ribosomal RNA is filed under the name uncultured bacterium. RNAcentral describes it as "partial 16S ribosomal RNA". It matches the Rfam family "Bacterial small subunit ribosomal RNA", at positions 524 to 776 of the family's 1533-position model. The record is from RNAcentral.